Molecule: long non-coding RNA, 477 nt
Filed under: Erythranthe guttata (spotted monkey flower)
Lineage: Eukaryota; Viridiplantae; Streptophyta; Magnoliopsida; Lamiales; Phrymaceae
Description: long non-coding RNA (EGUT_LNC002622)
Source: RNAcentral
UUACACCUCAAAAUAUGUUUUGGACGCACAAUAAAUAACAUAUAUACAUGUAUAUAUAUAAUAAGCAAUAUAUAUAUGUAUAUAUAUAUAUUGGGGCAUCAUAAUUUGAUUAACGAUAAAUAUCAUGGGAUUAAUAAUCUCAUCAAUAUCGCCAUCUCCAUCAGAAACAGUAGUACUAAAGGAAGACGGAGACGGCGAAUUUGCUCAUGAUGGAAAGAUAACAAUGGUGGUGCUUGUCUCUCUUUUAUCUGCUUUUCUUAUCUUCAUCCUUUUCUUUCAGUUUGUACGACGUCGCUUCUACUUGCCAAACGUAACUUAGUGGCUACUACUCUUGGCUACCGCUAGUAGAUCUGUAGUAGUGACUAGCUAGUGAGCAAAGGCGGCCUAAAUAUUUGCAAUUAUGCUCACAAUUUAACAUUAUUAAUUUAUAAGUUGAAUUUAUCUCUACUUAAUUAGUUUCUCCUUUUUUCCUUGCAU